This 484-nucleotide ribosomal RNA is filed under the name uncultured bacterium. Its description in RNAcentral is "partial 16S ribosomal RNA". It matches the Rfam family "Bacterial small subunit ribosomal RNA", at positions 30 to 507 of the family's 1533-position model. The record is from RNAcentral.
AUUGAACGCUGGCGGCAGGCCUAACACAUGCAAGUCGAGCGGAUGAAGGGAGCUUGCUCCUGGAUUCAGCGGCGGACGGGUGAGUAAUGCCUAGGAAUCUGCCUGGUAGUGGGGGAUAACGUCCGGAAACGGGCGCUAAUACCGCAUACGUCCUGAGGGAGAAAGUGGGGGAUCUUCGGACCUCACGCUAUCAGAUGAGCCUAGGUCGGAUUAGCUAGUUGGUGGGGUAAAGGCCUACCAAGGCGACGAUCCGUAACUGGUCUGAGAGGAUGAUCAGUCACACUGGAACUGAGACACAGUCCAGGCUCCUACGGGAGGCAGCAGUGGGGAAUAUUGGACAAUGGGCGAAAUCCUGAUCCAGCCAUGCCGCGUGUGUGAAGAAGGUCUUCGGAUUGUAAAACACAUUAAGUUGGGAGGAAGGGCAGUAAGUUAAUACCUUGCUGUUUUGACGUUACCAACAGAAUAAGCACCGGCUAACUUAGUG